UACGGAGGGGGCUAGCGUUGUUCGGAAUUACUGGGCGUAAAGCGCACGUAGGCGGAUUGGAAAGUUGGGGGUGAAAUCCCGGGGCUCAACCCCGGAACUGCCUCCAAAACUAUCAGUCUGGAGUUCGAGAGAGGUGAGUGGAAUUCCGAGUGUAGAGGUGAAAUUCGUAGAUAUUCGGAGGAACACCAGUGGCGAAGGCGGCUCACUGGCUCGAUACUGACGCUGAGGUACGAAAGCGUGGGGAGCAAACAGG
Molecule: ribosomal RNA, 253 nt
Filed under: uncultured bacterium
Lineage: Bacteria
Description: partial 16S ribosomal RNA
Rfam family: Bacterial small subunit ribosomal RNA
Source: RNAcentral